Molecule: non-coding RNA, 252 nt
Rfam family: T-box leader
About the family: Uncharged tRNA acts as the effector for transcription antitermination of genes in the T-box leader family. T-boxes are found upstream of many aminoacyl-tRNA synthetase genes and some amino acid biosynthetic genes usually in Gram-positive bacteria.
GAAAGUCCAAAGAGAAGGAAUAGUAAAUAAAAUAAGCUUUAAUAAAGAGAGUUUAGGAUGGUGAGAUCUAAGCAAGAAGGAUUUUAUUGAAUGGGCCUUUGAGGAAUAAUAGGAAAUCUAGAAAUAGAAAGUAAAAAUUAUUGGGAACCUCCCAUUAUAGAGGUUAGAGUAUGAUAGUACUUGAAAAGAGAGGUGUUUUUCUUAUACAUAAAAACACAAUUUAGGUGGCAACGCGGAACUUUCGUCCUAUGU